Molecule: transfer RNA, 69 nt
Filed under: Sceloporus occidentalis
Lineage: Eukaryota; Metazoa; Chordata; Lepidosauria; Squamata; Phrynosomatidae
Description: tRNA-Thr
Rfam family: tRNA
About the family: Transfer RNA (tRNA) molecules are approximately 80 nucleotides in length. Their secondary structure includes four short double-helical elements and three loops (D, anti-codon, and T loops). Further hydrogen bonds mediate the characteristic L-shaped molecular structure. tRNAs have two regions of fundamental functional importance: the anti-codon, which is responsible for specific mRNA codon recognition, and the 3' end, to which the tRNAs corresponding amino acid is attached (by aminoacyl-tRNA synthetases). tRNAs cope with the degeneracy of the genetic code in two manners: having more than one tRNA (with a specific anti-codon) for a particular amino acid; and 'wobble' base-pairing, i.e. permitting non-standard base-pairing at the 3rd anti-codon position.
Source: RNAcentral
GCCCCAGUAGCUUAAUAACAAAGCUCUGGUCUUGUAAGCCAAAGAUGGGAAUUAAACACCCCUGGGACA